ACGUAGGGUGCAAGCGUUAUCCGGAAUUAUUGGGCGUAAAGGGCUCGUAGGCGGUUCGUCGCGUCCGGUGUGAAAGUCCAUCGCUUAACGGUGGAUCCGCGCCGGGUACGGGCGGGCUUGAGUGCGGUAGGGGAGACUGGAAUUCCCGGUGUAACGGUGGAAUGUGUAGAUAUCGGGAAGAACACCAAUGGCGAAGGCAGGUCUCUGGGCCGUUACUGACGCUGAGGAGCGAAAGCGUGGGGAGCGAACAG
Molecule: ribosomal RNA, 251 nt
Filed under: uncultured bacterium
Lineage: Bacteria
Description: partial 16S ribosomal RNA
Rfam family: Bacterial small subunit ribosomal RNA
Source: RNAcentral